RNAcentral lists this ribosomal RNA (1165 nucleotides) under Photobacterium iliopiscarium. RNAcentral describes it as "bacterial LSU rRNA". It matches the Rfam family "Bacterial large subunit ribosomal RNA", at positions 593 to 1758 of the family's 2925-position model. Lineage: Bacteria; Pseudomonadati; Pseudomonadota; Gammaproteobacteria; Vibrionales; Vibrionaceae. The record is from RNAcentral.
GUGACUGCGUACCUUUUGUAUAAUGGGUCAGCGACUUAAUUUUAGUAGCAAGGUUAACCGUUUAGGGGAGCCGUAGGGAAACCGAGUCUUAACUGGGCGUCAUAGUUGCUAGGAUUAGACCCGAAACCGAGUGAUCUAGCCAUGGGCAGGUUGAAGGUGAGGUAACACUUACUGGAGGACCGAACCGACUAAUGUUGAAAAAUUAGCGGAUGACUUGUGGCUAGGGGUGAAAGGCCAAUCAAACUCGGAGAUAGCUGGUUCUCCCCGAAAGCUAUUUAGGUAGCGCCUCGGACGAAUACUACUGGGGGUAGAGCACUGUUAAGGCUAGGGGGUCAUCCCGACUUACCAACCCUUUGCAAACUCCGAAUACCAGUAAGUAAUAUCCGGGAGACACACGGCGGGUGCUAACGUCCGUCGUGAAGAGGGAAACAACCCAGACCGCCAGCUAAGGUCCCAAAGUUAUAGCUAAGUGGGAAACGAUGUGGGAAGGCUCAGACAGCCAGGAUGUUGGCUUAGAAGCAGCCAUCAUUUAAAGAAAGCGUAAUAGCUCACUGGUCGAGUCGGCCUGCGCGGAAGAUUUAACGGGGCUAAGCUAUACACCGAAGCUGCGGCAAUGUGAAUUUAUUCACAUUGGGUAGGGGAGCGUUCUGUAAGCCGUUGAAGGUGCAUUGUAAAGUGUGCUGGAGGUAUCAGAAGUGCGAAUGCUGACAUGAGUAACGAUAAAGGGAGUGAAAAACUCCCUCGCCGGAAGAUCAAGGGUUCCUGUCCAACGUUAAUCGGGGCAGGGUAAGUCGACCCCUAAGGCGAGGCCGAAAGGCGUAGUCGAUGGGAAACGGGUUAAUAUUCCCGUACUUCUUAUAAUUGCGAUGGAGGGACGGAGAAGGCUAGGUGAGCCUGGCGACGGUUGUCCAGGUCCAAGUAUGUAGGCUGAUGAAUUAGGCAAAUCCGGUUCAUCUUAAGGCUGAGAUACGAUGUCGAGCUACUACGGUAGUGAAGUCAUUGAUGCCAUGCUUCCGGGAAAAGCUUCUAAGCUUCAGAUUAUAAGAAAUCGUACCCCAAACCGACACAGGUGAUCAGGUAGAGAAUACCAAGGCGCUUGAGAGAACUCGGGUGAAGGAACUAGGCAAAAUGGUACCGUAACUUCGGGAGAAGGUACGCUCCUAGC